GUGUCACAAUAAAGCUUCCUUAUGAUGACUCUUGGAGUAGUUCUUUACUACCAGCAUCCAACUGAACCAGCAGGACAGGUAAUAAGCCAUGCCUGGGCCACAAGUUGAUGAACUACUGACCAAAGCUCUGACUAAGGCUCUUGGAAGCUGCAUCUCUAUAUAUGGAGUGGGACUGGAAACUUCACUGACUCUCCCUGCCACCUCCCUCUCUGGAGAACUCAUGGGUCAGAUCUCUGAAUCAUGUGUUUCAGUGGUGUUUCAAUGCUUGUUGACUUUAAGAGAAGAAAAAGAAGAGAAGGAAAGAGAAAAAGAAGAGGGUCAAAAGAUCUCCUUUGGGGAAAUCAUCUCUGCUAACAUGUCAUGAAGAGGAUAAGAAACCAAUGAAAAUGACAGAAGAGUUGUUGGAAAAAGACAUACAUGUAUAUGUAUAAAGAAGGAGGCUAGAUACUUGUGAAUGUGGAAGUUGAAUACCUGAUCUGUGUUAAGCUGAUAAAGGAACAAAUCACUGCUGCUGGCUCUAAGAAGGGGGAACAGCAAAGACAUACUGUUUCCAAUCUUUUGAGGCUUUCAGAAGACCUUUUUUGCUAAACCAAGGGGUAAAAUAAAAUCCUUUUCUUAUCCCUGUU
Long non-coding RNA from Monodelphis domestica (gray short-tailed opossum), 626 nucleotides. RefSeq lists it as uncharacterized. NCBI's taxonomy places the organism in Eukaryota, Metazoa, Chordata, Mammalia, Didelphimorphia, Didelphidae. The record is from RefSeq and is a predicted model, not a curated record.